UAGGGAAUCUUCGGCAAUGGACGAAAGUCUGACCGAGCAACGCCGCGUGAGUGAAGAAGGUUUUCGGAUCGUAAAAACUCUGUUGGUAGAGAAGAACGUUGGUGAGAGUGGAAAGCUCAUCAAGUGACGGUAACUACCCCAGAAAGGGACGGCUAACUACGUGCCAGCAGCCGCGGUAAUACGUAGGUCCCGAGCGUUGUCCGGAUUUAUUGGGCGUAAAGCGAGCGCAGGUGGUUUAUUAAGUCUGGUGUAAA
This 254-nucleotide ribosomal RNA is filed under the name uncultured bacterium. Its description in RNAcentral is "partial 16S ribosomal RNA". It matches the Rfam family "Bacterial small subunit ribosomal RNA", at positions 355 to 598 of the family's 1533-position model. The record is from RNAcentral.